This 285-nucleotide small nuclear RNA is filed under the name Chinchilla lanigera (long-tailed chinchilla). RNAcentral describes it as "7SK RNA (ENSCLAG00000021554.1)". It matches the Rfam family "7SK RNA". Rfam says of the family: 7SK was discovered as an abundant small nuclear RNA in the mid-70s but a possible function has only recently been suggested. Lineage: Eukaryota; Metazoa; Chordata; Mammalia; Rodentia; Chinchillidae. The record is from RNAcentral.
GGAUGUGAAGGAGAUCUGGGUGCGGCAUCUGUCACCCAGUUGAUUGCCAGGGUUGACCAGCUGCUCUGGCUGGCUAAGCAGGUGUCCCCUUCCUGCCUCACUGCUCCCUGUGCCUCCUUCCCUAAGCUGCGUGCUCGGUGGAAGAGGACCACCACCCCGAUAGAGGAGGACCGUUUCCUUGGUCAGCGUUACAAGUAGCUGCCCUCUCCUGCUAGAACCUCCAGACAAGCACCCAAAAUGAAAAAAUAAAACAGGGCUGGAGAUGUAGCUCAGGCCAAAGGCCUU